GAUGAAGAACGCAGCGAAAUGCGAUAAGUAGUGUGAAUUGCAGAAUUCAGUGAAUCAUCGAAUCUUUGAACGCACCUUGCGCCCUUUGGCUAUUCCGAAGGGCAUGCCUGUUUGAGUAUCAUGAACACCUCAACUCUUCACGGCUUGCCGUGAUGAGUUUGGACUUUGGGGGUCUUGCUGGCCUACGAGCCAGCUCCUCUCAAAUGUAUUAGCUUGCCGGUGUUUGGUGGCAUCACAGGUGUGAUAACUAUCUACGCUUGUGGUUUUCCACUAGGUAACCUUCAGCAAUGGAGGUUCACCGGAGCUCACAAAUGUCUCUCCUUGCCAAGGACAGAUUUUGACCAUUUGAUCUCAAAUCAGGUAGGACUACCCGCUGAACUUAAGCAUAUCAAUAAGCGGAGGA
This 403-nucleotide unclassified non-coding RNA is filed under the name soil metagenome. RNAcentral describes it as "partial contains 5.8S ribosomal RNA, internal transcribed spacer 2, and large subunit ribosomal RNA". The stretch from base 1 to 121 matches the Rfam family "5.8S ribosomal RNA", at positions 35 to 154 of the family's 154-position model. The record is from RNAcentral.